GGGGAUAUAGCUCAGCUGGUAGAGCGCCGCCCUUGCA
RNAcentral lists this transfer RNA (37 nucleotides) under Angiopteris evecta. Its description in RNAcentral is "tRNA-Ala". The record is from RNAcentral. Lineage: Eukaryota; Viridiplantae; Streptophyta; Polypodiopsida; Marattiales; Marattiaceae.